UCACCUUCCCCUCAGCGACAACCAACGGGCCCCGCCAUCUUGAGGCGGUACAAUUUAAACGUCGUCGCAUUGAGCGAGUGUCACGAUACAUUUAACAACAUUUAACAAUUAGUUCGCAGCGCGAGCGAGAGGAUAAACAUCGAUGGUCGUCCUCAAGAGGCGGCCGCGAAUGCAGAGCUACAGGGCCAUACCUGGAGUACCCACUUUGGUAUACAGAUCGCUUGACAUCACUGGUGAUAUUGGUAACGAUGGCGAUGGUGAUGUCGGUGAUGGUGGCGGCGAUGCCAGUGAUGGCAGUGAUGACAUCAUGAACCCAGACCAUCACCACGACGGUGAUGGUGAAGAUGAUGGCGAUGAUGGUGAAGAUGAUGAUGAUGAUAGUGAAGAUGAUGAUGGUGAAAGUGACGAUUCUGAACUUGCUGAGAACG
This is a long non-coding RNA of Lethenteron reissneri (Far Eastern brook lamprey), 428 nucleotides long. RefSeq lists it as uncharacterized. The record is from RefSeq and is a predicted model, not a curated record. NCBI's taxonomy places the organism in Eukaryota, Metazoa, Chordata, Hyperoartia, Petromyzontiformes, Petromyzontidae.